This 468-nucleotide ribosomal RNA is filed under the name uncultured bacterium. Its description in RNAcentral is "partial 16S ribosomal RNA". It matches the Rfam family "Bacterial small subunit ribosomal RNA", at positions 28 to 507 of the family's 1533-position model. The record is from RNAcentral.
GAUGAACGCUGGCGGCGUGCUUAACACAUGCAAGUCGAGCGGAAAGGCGCGACGUUUGCGUCGUGCUCGUUUGGCGAAGGCGGGAGUGACACGUGUGUAACCUGCCCCUGACUGUCUGGUAACUCCUGGGAACUGGGGCUCUAAUCGCAUAGGAGCUUCUGCUGCGCGUGGGUGGUUGGAAAAUUUCGGCGGUUGGGGAUGGACUCGCGGCUUAUCAGCUUGUUGGUGUGGUAGUGGCUUACCAAGGCUUUGACGGGUAGCCUGCCUGGGAGGGUGACCGGCCACCUUGGGACUGCGAUACGGCCCAGAAUCCUACGGGACGCAGCAGUGGGGAAUAUUGCAGAAUGGGGGGAAGCCUGAUGCAGCAACGCCGCGUGCGGGAUGCCGGCCUUCGGGUUGUAAACCGCUUUCGCCUGUGACGAAGCGUGAGUGACGGUAAUGGGUAAAGAAGCACCGGCUAACUACGUG